This is a long non-coding RNA of Metopolophium dirhodum (rose-grain aphid), 5056 nucleotides long. RefSeq lists it as uncharacterized. Lineage: Eukaryota; Metazoa; Arthropoda; Insecta; Hemiptera; Aphididae. The record is from RefSeq and is a predicted model, not a curated record. The transcript has 5 exons.
ACGAACUAAGAUCUUAGUUCAUGAUAUUACUCGAUGGACCGCUGGCGCAGUAUCGCUAUCGUGUUAUCUAACUUUCCCAAACUGAUUUCACUGUUAUCGACAAUAUUAUUAUUGAUGAUACAGUCUUGAAUUUACGAACAUUUUAAACCGUCAUAAAUUAUUUAAAUAGCAUUAUAAUUUAUAUUUAAAAGCACAAUAGGUAACGACUCGACUUUUGACAUGGAUCCAGGGAAUUUCAUGAUGAAUAAACAAGAAACUCCGGGCGACAUUUGCAAAUAUAAGAUUUGGUUUGAUGACGAAACAUAAAAGUUUUUAAUGUACCUAUGUUUAAUUGAAGAUAUUGAUGUGAAACUGUAAUGAUUAGCUAAUUCUAGAAUGAAAAUUUAGAAAAACGGAAAAACUCCUACCCAAAGUACUCAAAUGCACAUAGUACGAAUGUGAACAACACAAAUUAAAUUGACUGAAUUGGUUGACACUGAAAAUCUGAGUGAUUUCGACGACAUUUUGGAAAAAAUAAAAUCUGAAUAAUUAAGUAUAAUACAAACAUCUUAUUUUGGAAGUACCAAAGUAAUGCACAUUGUGUUAAUUUUGAGAGUUAAAAAUAAAUGUUUAAUACAUAAAUAAUGUGCUUGAUAAAAAUUAAAGCCUAAAGGGCUGUGAAGAGGAUAUAAAUGAGGCCUUUCAUGGGGUUACCAAGUACUCCGUGUAUACCCAAUACGCAUGCCUUUGGUUGUGGUCCGAGAGUUAAGUCAAGGGUUUCGGUCAAGUUGAGGUCCAUUUGCUCCUGGUCGUAAACAUGACAUUCAGUCAAGAUGUGUUUGACGGUGAGAUGUUGGCCGCAGAAUUCACAGAAGGAUGGUUCUUCAUUGGACAUUUAGAUCUAAAGUGCAUACAAACAUUGACUGCUGAAAUAACAUUAGAUAAUGCAUUUGAAACAACUAUAACAGUUUAAUGACACAACAUAUUUGUAAAUUAAUUGGGUUGUAAGGACUUUUAUUGCUCAAUAUGUAAUAUAUUUAUUCUAAUAAUUCAUCAAAGAGAGAUAACAAUUUCAAUGGAUAUGAUUCGUCAGGCAUAGUAAUGGUUCAAAAUCCAACAAUCUAAAAAUAUUCCAUUAAAUGGUCCAAUACUCCAAGAAAAAUCGACUAAAUUCAGGAAGCGUUAUAAUAAGACAGAUUUGCAAUGUUCUUUUUAUUGGAUUACCCUUUUUCACCAAAGUCACAUCAUUUUUGGAAAAGUAAGUGGAGAAUCAGCAAGCGUUUCUGCUGUUUUGGAAAAUUGGCUGGAGCACGUUUGGUUUAACUUGUGUAAAAAUUAUACAGAUUGUAACAUUUAUAAUGCUGAUGAAAAUUGAUAAUUUUUUCGUUUACACCGUCUCAAACAUUACAUUUUAAAAUUGAAACUUGCAGUGGAGGUGAACUAUCUAAAGAGCAAUUCACAAUUCUUGUGGCAUCUAAUAUAAAUGGUUCUGACAAAAAAAAAACUGCUGGUAAUAGGAAAGUCUAAGACUGCGAAAUGUUUUAUAAAUGUUAAAUACUUUACUGUUGACUAUAGAAGCAAUUAAAAAGCAUGGAUUACCAAAGACAUUUUUUCAAAUUUGUUGAAUGAAUGAGAUAAACAAUUGGCAAUGUAGAAACAGUAUAUUCUAUUGACUGUAGACAAUUGUUCAGCCUAUCUUCUAUACAAAAUUUCGAUUUUAUAGUUUAUUUAUUUAAUUUUUAUUUUAAGUUGAUUUUUCUCCCUCUAAACAAGAACUUUGUACUUCAGCCUAUGGACCAUGGUAUUAUCAAGACACUAAAAUUAUAAUUUCGAAAACAGUUGGUACUCAAAAUUAUAAAUCAAAAGGCACCAGGAAAAGAAUCAAAAAUGUCCGUAUUGGAUGCAAUUUUAACGGUCUCAGAUGCGUGGAAUGCUGUUUCUACCACUACAAUAAAGAACUGUAUCCUUCAAAUUGGGUUCCAGGCUGCGGUAAAUGUCAAAGCAGAAAAAUAAUCAAUAAACGAAAAUUUGGACAUAGUGCUUCCCUGAAGUAAACUUACAAAAUAUUGUUGAGGUUGACGCUGCUCUUAUGAUCAAUAAAGAACCGAAUGAAGAAUAAAUUGUAAAUUAUAUUUUAAAUGUAAAUAAGGAGCUGACAAUUAGACCAAAGAAAUUGUAUAUUAUAAGGCCCCAUCUUUUUUGGAAGUGUAUUUUUAAUAGAGCUGGGCCGAUACCAAUACCCGAUAUGGUACUAUCGGUUUAUCGGGUAUCAGGUUUUUUUUAAACCGAUAAUUAAACUGAUAUAAUGCAGUCGCAUAUCAAUUUGUAUGUAAUGGUGGUGCUUAUACCGAUAAUGUUAUUUUUUUACAUAUUAUAAUAUAAACAAUAAAUAAUUUGGUAAACAUAUCAAACACAAUUUAAAUUAAAUUUUGUUUAUUUAAUUAUUUUUCCUGCUUACCGCGGUUAUGAUUUUAUUGAUUAAGAUAAUAUCCCAAAAAUUAUUAAUUAUUAUAGUAUCAUUAAAUUCAACUUUUAAACGUAUAAAUAUUUUAAUUUUUAAUUAAUAAUGAUUUAAUAUUUAUUAUUUAGUAUAGUGAUUUCAAGUUUGAUUAUUUUAAUAUUUAUAAUCUUCUAUCACUAUUAUAUUGUUUUAUUUUUUUGUCCACUUAUUCAACUAAAAAAAUAUUUAAAGUUAUUAAUUAUUAUUUAUUAGCUAUACACAUACAGCUAUACAUUUAUACUAUUAUAUAUUAUACUAUGUACAUAGUACUAUUACUGAUUAUUUUUCAAAAAAAUUGUAAACAUAAUUAGGUUAAAAUAAUAUAUACAUAAUCCCGUAUUAAUACGUACUUAUUAUUCAUAAAUAUAUAAUAUAGACAUGUGUGAUAAUACAUUUGUAAUACAAAAACUUUGUUAAAUCAAGUUUUUUUAUCAUCCGGAUAUAACAGCCUGAUUCAGAAGGUCCCUUAAAAAUCGGUAUAAGUAGAUUCUACCGUAUUAAAAAAAAUAUUCAAUCUAAUUUUGAGGAAGCAACUAUUAACAUACAGCAUCAAUGAAGAAGAACCUGCAGUAAAUCCAUGUUGCAACCCCAAAGAAAAGAGCAUUUUUACCAACAAAUAUACCUGGGAACCCAUGCAAUUUUGUAAUAGAUGCCCUAAAAUUUAAGUCCCAGAUCAUAGGGCCCGUAUUUUAAUUAAGGUUAAGUACUAGAAUUAAAUGUACAUUUUUCUAAUAUACCUAUAAAAAGACAUAAUAAAACGUACAAUAUUUUUAAUUUGCGCGGAAUAACUGCUUAUUAUGAUUUAGUAUAUUUAAACAAUCAAUUUUAGAUUUAUUUGUAGAUAAAGCUCAAAUAGAUGUAAUUUAUACAGAUUUUGAAAAGGCAUUCGAUAGGGUUAACUAUUCAUUAUUAAUUUACAAACUAAAAAUUAUAUGGGCUUAGAGAUUCUUUACUUUCUUGGUUUAACUCAUUUCUAACAAAUUGUUUCCUAGUUAUUAAAUACAAACAAUUUAUAUCUAAUUCAAUAAAUGUAUUAUCAGGUGUUGCCCAAGGAGAUCACUUAUCUCCAUUACUUUUUUCAUUUUUCAUUAACAAUAUUAAUAAAGUUCUAAAUUGCUUAAAAUAAAUAAUAAAAUAAAUUAUUUGCUGAUGACAGUAAAAUAUUUAAAAAAAUCAAUUGUAUUGAUGUAUUUUAUUGGAACUUCAAGCCAACUUAGAUAAUUUAUAUAAAUGGUGCAUCAAUAAUGGAAUGUCCUUAAAUAUUGAUAAAUGCUCCGUUAUAUCGUAUUCUUUAAAAUAAAUACUAUCUUUUUUAAUUAUGUUUUACAUAAUACAAAUCUAACACGUAAAUAUAUUAUUAAAGAUCUAGGAGUUUCAUUUGACACAAAAUUAUCUUUUAGGAAUCAUGUGGAUUUUAUUCAUAAUAAAGCUUUUAUGAAGCUGGGAUUAUAAAAACGUAUGUGUUAUGAUUUCAACGAUAGUUCAGCUUUAAAAAUAUUAUAUUAUUCUCUAGUAUAUUGCACCCACUGGGAUUUUUUUUAAUGAACAAAAAAUCAGUGUAUAAUAAUGUAAAUAUGUGACAACUUAUGUAUGUAUAACAUAAAUUUAAUUUUGCACCCACUGAGCUGAUUUUCUGCGGGCGUCCCUGGGCACUCAGAUAGUAUUUGUCAAAACCAUAGUCUAAUAAUAUUUAGAAUAAAGCAUAUUAUAUACCAAUUUCAUGGAUUAAGAUCAAUAUUUGUGCUAAUUACUGUCAUUCACUGUAGUGGCAUAAUUGAGAAUAUUUCAUGAGGGGGGGAUAUCAAAAUAAAUUUGUAUGGCAAAUUUCACAUAUUACCCUUAUCAUAAUUGUAUAUCUUAUCACAUGAUGUAUACAUAAAAUGUAUGUAUUUGUUUUAAAUUAUUAUUAUUGUUAUUAUUAAUUAAUAAAUUAUAUUUUUUUUAGUACCUAGACUCAUUCAAAUUUUUGAUAAUAACUAAUAUAACAUAAUAGCUACUGAAUGAACUGCAUAGAUUGCAGUAAUUUUUAAAUACAUUUUUAACUGGUGCCUAUUUAAUUUUGCAUAAUUUUAAUUGUAAUGCUAAAGUGUACAAUAUAGGUAAAUGCAUAUUUUGUACGAUCUUAAAACAUUUAAUUCCGGGCCUAAAAAUGUUUGGUAUUUUAAAUAAUUAAAAAAUGUAAUAAUUACGUCAGGACCAGGCUUCUUUUCAAAAAAUUCAAUUAAGUAUUAUUAGUAGCAACUUUCCUUUUUUAAAAUUAUUGUCAACUUUUGAAAUGUGUAUUCAACAAAGAAAUAACAGUCCGGAAAGAGAAACAGAUUUUAUUAAUGAUGUAUCAACAACUCUAGAACGUUGCAAUGAACAAAUUUAACAUAAUAAUAAGUUACGUAUAAAUAAAUGUUCUUCAGCUACUAAAAAGCGUAAAACUAAAACACCAGAAGAUAAUAUUGAUGAACAAAUUUUCAGGAAAUCAAAAAAACCAAUUGACCAAUUUUUAAAUAUAGGUACAUAACCUUUAAAACUAAACUAGGGACUCUAAAAAUGCAGAUACUAUUUGUUUUUAUUUUAUUGUAUGAU